CGUAGGGUGCAAGCGUUAAUCGGAAUUACUGGGCGUAAAGCGUGCGCAGGCGGCUUUGCAAGACAGAUGUGAAAUCCCCGGGCUUAACCUGGGAACUGCAUUUGUGACUGCAUGGCUGGAGUGCGGCAGAGGGGGAUGGAAUUCCGCGUGUAGCAGUGAAAUGCGUAGAUAUGCGGAGGAACACCGAUGGCGAAGGCAAUCCCCUGGGCCUGCACUGACGCUCAUGCACGAAAGCGUGGGGAGCAAACAGGAUUAGAUACCCUGGUAGUCCACGCCCUAAACGGUGUCAACUGGUUGUUGGACGGCUUGCUGUUCAGUAACGAAGCUAACGCGUGAAGUUGACCGCCUGGGGAGUACGGCCGCAAGGUUG
Molecule: ribosomal RNA, 370 nt
Filed under: uncultured organism
Description: bacterial SSU rRNA
Rfam family: Bacterial small subunit ribosomal RNA
Source: RNAcentral